UCAAGCGCAAAAGGGCAUUUAGUGGAUGCCUUGGCAUCAAGAGACGAUGAAGGACGCGGCAGGCUGCGAAAAGUUAAGGGGAGUUGUCAACACACUUUGAUCCUUAAAUAUCCGAAUGGGGAAACCCAACUCUUAUGAGUUACUCAUUAGUGAAUACAUAGCUAAUGAGAGUUAACCUAGUGAAUUGAAAUAUCUUAGUAGCUAGAGGAAAAGAAAUCUAUUCCGUUAGUAGUGACGAGCGAACGCGGAUCAGGCCAACAGUAAAAUUAUAAUAACUAGAAUUACCUGGAAAGUUAAACCAUAGUGGGUGAUAGUCCCGUAUAGGUAAAAAUUAAUUUUAUUUUCGAGUAGGGCGGAACACGUGAAAUUUUGUCUGAAUAUGGGGAGACCACUUCCCAAGCCUAAAUACUCCUUGAUGACCGAUAGUGAACUAGUACCGUGAGGGAAAGGUGAAAAGCACCCCGAUAGGGGGAAUGAAAUAGUAUCUGAAACCGAAUGCCUACAAGCAGUCAGAGCUUCCUUGAGAAGUGAUGGCAUACCUUUUGUAUAAUGGGUCAGCGACUUAGUCUGUGCAGCAAGCUUAAGCCAUUAGGUGUAGGCGAAGGGAAACCAAGUCUUAAUAGGGCGUUAGUUGUACGGAUUAGACUCGAAGCGGGAUGAGCUUAAUAUGAGCAGGUUGAAGAUGCAGUAACAUGCAUCGGAGGACCGAACCAGGAAACGUUGAAAUGUUUUUGGAUGACUUGUGUUAAGGGGUGAAAGGCCAACCAAAUUCCGCUAUAGCUAGUUCUCCGCGAAAACUAUUUAGUAGUGCGUUGUGUGAAUGAUUUCGGGGUAAAGCACUGGAUGGGCUAGGGGGAGCGAUUCCUACCAAACCUAACCAAACUCUGAAUACCGAUAUUCUAUACACAGCAGACAGACUAUAGGUGCUAAGGUCUAUAGUCGAGAGGGAAACAGCCCAGAUCACCAGUUAAGGCCCCCAAAUAAUGGCUAAGUGGGAAAGUAUGUAGAAAGACCAAGACAGGCAGGAGGUUGGCUUAGAAGCAGCCAUCCUUUAAAGAUAGCGUAACAGCUCACUGUUCUAAUUAAGUUUUUCCGCGACGAAGAUGUAACGGGGCUAAAGCCAUUUGCCGAAACUGUGACUUUGUAAUUAUUGCGAUACUUACAAGGGGUAGCGGAGCGUUCUGUAAGCCGUCGAAGGUGUUUUGAAAAAAAUGUUGGAGGUAUCAGAAGUGCGAAUGCUGACAUGAGUAGCGAUAAAGAGUGUGAGAGACACUCUCGCCGAAAUCCUAAGGUUUCCUGCGUAAAGUUAAUCUGCGCAGGGUUAGUCGACCCCUAAGGCGAGGCAGAAAUGCGUAGUCGAUGGGAAACAGGUUAAUAUUCCUGUACCUUCUGAGAGUUGACGGAUUAUGUAAAUUGUAUUUUCUUAUUGGAUUGAAAAUGCAGUGAAGUAGUUCCUGGAAAUAGCCUCAGAUUAUAGAUCGUACCUAAACCGACACAGGUAGGAAGGUAGAGUAUACCAAGGCGCUUGAGAGAAUGAUGUUGAAGGAACUCGGCAAAAUGCUCUUGUAACUUCGGAAUAAGAGAGACCAUUUUUUAGGCAACUAAAUAAUGGUGGCACAGAAUAGGGAGAAGCGACUGUUUAUCAAAAACACAGGUCUCUGCUAAGUCGUAAGACGAUGUAUAGGGACUGACGCCUGCCCGGUGCCGGAAGGUUAAAUGGUGGAGUGCAAGCUCUAAAAUGAAGCCCCGGUGAACGGCGGCCGUAACUAUAACGGUCCUAAGGUAGCGAAAUUCCUUGUCAGGUAAGUUCUGACCCGCA
RNAcentral lists this ribosomal RNA (1819 nucleotides) under marine metagenome. Its description in RNAcentral is "bacterial LSU rRNA". It matches the Rfam family "Bacterial large subunit ribosomal RNA", at positions 1 to 1992 of the family's 2925-position model. The record is from RNAcentral.